Molecule: ribosomal RNA, 484 nt
Filed under: uncultured bacterium
Lineage: Bacteria
Description: partial 16S ribosomal RNA
Rfam family: Bacterial small subunit ribosomal RNA
Source: RNAcentral
AUUGAACGCUGGCGGCAGGCCUAACACAUGCAAGUCGAGCGGAUGAAGGGAGCUUGCUCCUGGAUUCAGCGGCGGAAGGGUGAGUAAUGCCUAGGAAUCUGCCUGGUAGUGGGGGAUAACGUCCGGAAACGGGCGCUAAUACCGCAUACGACCUGAGGGAGAAAGUGGGGGAUCUUCGGACCUCACGCUAUCAGAUGAGCCUAGGUCGGAUUAGUUAGUUGGUGGGGUAAAGGCCUACCAAGGCGACGAUCCGUAACUGGUCUGAGAGGAUGAUCAGUCACACUGGAACUGGGACACGGUCCAGACUCCUACGGGAGGCAGCAGUGGGGAAUAUUGGACAGUGGGCGAAAGCCUGAUCCAGCCAUGCCGCGUGUGUGAAGAAGGUCUUCGGAUUGUAAAGCACUUUAAGUUGGUAUGAAGGGCAGUAAGUUAAUACCUUGCUGUUUUGACGUUACCAACAGAAUAAGCACCGGCUAACUUCGUG